RNAcentral lists this ribosomal RNA (466 nucleotides) under uncultured bacterium. Its description in RNAcentral is "partial 16S ribosomal RNA". It matches the Rfam family "Bacterial small subunit ribosomal RNA", at positions 28 to 507 of the family's 1533-position model. The record is from RNAcentral.
GAUGAACGCUGGCGGCGUGCUUAACACAUGCAAGUCGAACGAUGAAGCCCAGCUUGCCGGGUGGAUUAGUGGCGAACGGGUGAGUAACACGUGAGUAACCUGCCCUUAACUCUGGGAUAAGCCUGGGAAACUGGGUCUAAUACCGGAUAGGAGCGUCCACCGCAUGGUGGGUGUUGGAAAGAUUUAUCGGUUUUGGAUGGACUCGCGGCCUAUCAGCUUGUUGGUGAGGUAAUGGCUCACCAAGGCGACGACGGGUAGCCGGCCUGAGAGGGUGGCCGGCCACACUGGGACUGAGACACGGCCCAGACUCCUACGGGAGGCAGCAGUGGGGAAUAUUGCACAAUGGGCGCAAGCCUGAUGCAGCGACGCCGCGUGAGGGAUGACGGCCUUCGGGUUGUAAACCUCUUUCAGUAGGGAAGAAGCGAAAGUGACGGUACCUGCAGAAGAAGCACCGGCUAACUACGUG